This 45-nucleotide non-coding RNA is filed under the name Schistosoma mansoni. Lineage: Eukaryota; Metazoa; Platyhelminthes; Trematoda; Strigeidida; Schistosomatidae. The record is from RNAcentral.
AUCCAGCUGACGAGUUCCAAAUGGGACGAAACGUGCGUCCUGGAU